Molecule: ribosomal RNA, 497 nt
Filed under: uncultured bacterium
Lineage: Bacteria
Description: partial 16S ribosomal RNA
Rfam family: Bacterial small subunit ribosomal RNA
Source: RNAcentral
GAUGAACGCUGGCGGCGUGCCUAAUACAUGCAAGUCGAGCGAACGGACGAGAAGCUUGCUUCUCUGAUGUUAGCGGCGGACGGGUGAGUAACACGUGGAUAACCUACCUAUAAGACUGGGAUAACUUCGGGAAACCGGAGCUAAUACCGGAUAAUGUUUUGAACCGCAUGGUUCAAAAGUGAAAGACGGUCUUGCUGUCACUUAUAGAUGGAUCCGCGCUGCAUUAGCUAGUUGGUAAGGUAACGGCUUACCAAGGCAACGAUGCAUAGCCGACCUGAGAGGGUGAUCGGCCACACUGGAACUGAGACACGGUCCAGACUCCUACGGGAGGCAGCAGUAGGGAAUCUUCCGCAAAGGGCGAAAGCCUGACGGAGCAACGCCGCGUGAGUGAUGAAGGUCUUCGGAUCGUAAAACUCUGUUAUUAGGGAAGAACAUAUGUGUAAGUAACUGUGCACAUCUUGACGGUACCUAAUCAGAAAGCCACGGCUAACUACGUG